RNAcentral lists this ribosomal RNA (497 nucleotides) under uncultured bacterium. Its description in RNAcentral is "partial 16S ribosomal RNA". It matches the Rfam family "Bacterial small subunit ribosomal RNA", at positions 28 to 507 of the family's 1533-position model. The record is from RNAcentral.
GACGAACGCUGGCGGCGUGCUUAACACAUGCAAGUCGAACGGUGAGGCGCCUUCCUUUUUGGUGGGUGUGGAUGAGUGGCGAACGGGGGAGUAACACGUGAGUAACCUGCUCCCUUCUUCUGGAUAACCGCAUGAAAGAGUGGCUAAUACGGGAUAUUUUGGGUCUGUCGCAUGAUUGGUCUGGGAAAGAUAUGGUUUCGGUGGGGGAUGGGCUCGCGUCGUAUUAGCUUGUUGGUGGGGUGAUGGCGUACCAAGGCGGCGAUGCGUAGCCGGCCUGAGAGGGUGAUCGGCGGCCAUGCAGGGGCUGCGAGACGGACACGCCUACUACGGGAGGCAGUAGUGAGGAAUAUUGAAUGAUGGGAGGAAGGCUGAUGCAGCGACGCGGCGUGAGGGAUGGAGGCCUUCGGGUUGUGAACCUCUUUCGCGGGUGAAGAAGGCCUGAAUUGUUUGUGGGUGGGUUGACGGUAGCUGAAUAAGAAGCGCCGGCUAACUACGUG